GGUAUGGCUGUUCGCCAUUUAAAGUGGUACGCGAGCUGGGUUUAGAACGUCGUGAGACAGUUCGGUCCCUAUCUGCCGUGGGCGCUGGAGAACUGAGGGGGGCUGCUCCUAGUACGAGAGGACCGGAGUGGACGCAUCACUGGUGUUCGGGUUGUCAUGCCAAUGGCACUGCCCGGUAGCUAAAUGCGGAAGAGAUAAGUGCUGAAAGCAUCUAAGCACGAAACUUGCCCCGAGAUGAGUUCUCCCUGACUCCUUGAGAGUCCUGAAGGAACGUUGAAGACGACGACGUUGAUAGGCCGGGUGUGUAAGCGCAGCGAUGCGUUGAGCUAACCGGUACUAAUGAACCGUGAGGCUUAACCUUACAACGCCGAAG
This 373-nucleotide ribosomal RNA is filed under the name Escherichia coli. RNAcentral's name for it is "bacterial LSU rRNA". It matches the Rfam family "Bacterial large subunit ribosomal RNA", at positions 2570 to 2925 of the family's 2925-position model. The record is from RNAcentral. Lineage: Bacteria; Pseudomonadati; Pseudomonadota; Gammaproteobacteria; Enterobacterales; Enterobacteriaceae.